CGGAAACACGGUGCCGGAUAACGUCCGGCGGGGGCGACCCCAGGGAAAGUGCCACAGAAAGCAAACCGCUUCGCUUCGCGGAGUAAGGGUGAAAGGGUGGGGUAAGAGCCCACCGCGGACAUGGCAACAUGGACGGCACGGCAAACCCCACCGGGAGCAAGACCGAAUAGGGAUGACACGGGCGCGCAAGCGUCCAGCCGGUUUCCAGGCGCGUCAUCCGGGUGGGUUGCAAGAGGCUGCGCGCAAGCGCAGUCCCAGAUGAAUGGCUGCCACGCUCCGUUCCUCCGGGAGCGGGG
Molecule: unclassified non-coding RNA, 296 nt
Filed under: Sinorhizobium terangae
Lineage: Bacteria; Pseudomonadati; Pseudomonadota; Alphaproteobacteria; Hyphomicrobiales; Rhizobiaceae
Description: partial ribonuclease P RNA
Rfam family: Bacterial RNase P class A
About the family: Ribonuclease P (RNase P) is a ubiquitous endoribonuclease, found in archaea, bacteria and eukarya as well as chloroplasts and mitochondria. Its best characterised activity is the generation of mature 5'-ends of tRNAs by cleaving the 5'-leader elements of precursor-tRNAs.
Source: RNAcentral